CUCUGGCUGCAGCAUCACCUGACACGGGGUUCCUGUCUGAUACUGUAUCUAACUCAGCAAUCACUGCACAACUUACCGUCUUGCUACAUACAUUUUGGUGGCGGACCGUGGUCCGCGCCCGGGCUGAGUUCUGUGUCAGCAUCUGAACGUCCUUCUCCUGGCUCGCAUUCUUCUAGCCGGCUGAGAGGUUGUCAGGAUCCUGGGUCAAGAGUGGUCCAGCAGGGACAGGUCCAUGGUGAGACUGGCUGUACUGCAUCUGGAGCAUCCUUCUGGUGGCAUCAAGGGAGACGCUGGUCCCAGAAGUCCACCUGCCAGGAUGGAACCCACACCAUAGCAGUGACCAGGCUGGAUCCUUAGCCUGCUGUGCCGCCAGGGAACCUCAGGGACUCCAGUUUGUAUCCUCGCCCCGCUCUCUCUGCAUUAGUUAAACCCCUAACAACUUCCCCUCCGAGGGCAGUGGGAUGCCUAGUGGGAGAUUCU
Molecule: long non-coding RNA, 480 nt
Filed under: Sus scrofa (pig)
Lineage: Eukaryota; Metazoa; Chordata; Mammalia; Artiodactyla; Suidae
Description: lncRNA (ENSSSCG00065053779.1)
Source: RNAcentral